RNAcentral lists this ribosomal RNA (468 nucleotides) under uncultured bacterium. RNAcentral's name for it is "partial 16S ribosomal RNA". It matches the Rfam family "Bacterial small subunit ribosomal RNA", at positions 28 to 507 of the family's 1533-position model. The record is from RNAcentral.
GACGAACGCUGGCGGCGUGCUUAACACAUGCAAGUCGAACGGAAAGGCCCUGCUUUUGUCGGGUGCCCGAGUGGCGAACGGGUGAGUAACACGUGAGUAACCUGCCCUUGACUUUGGGAUAACUUCAGGAAACUGGGGCUAAUACCGGAUAGGAGCUCCUGCUGCAUGGUGGGGGUUGGAAAGUUUCGGCGGUUGGGGAUGGGCUCGCGGCUUAUCAGCUUGUGGGUGGGGUAGGGGCUUACCAAGGCUUUGACGGGUAGCCGGCCUGAGAGGGUGGCCGGCCCCGUUAGGACUGAGAUGCGACACAGACUCCAACGGGACGGAGCGGUGGAGUGUAGUACACAAUAGGCUGAGGCCUGAUGCGGCCACGCCGCGUGGGGGGUGACAGGCUUGGGGUAGUGAUGCAAUUUCGCCUGUGACGAGGCGUGAAUGACGGUAACGGAUAAAGAAGCACCGGCUAACUUCGUG